AGAUACCCCAGUAGUCCACGCUGUAAAUGAUGGGUACUUGACGUUGGGAGUAUCAACUCUUCCAGUGUCGUAGCUAACGCAUUAAGUACCCCGCCUGGGGAGUACGAUCGCAAGGUUGAAACUCAAAGGAAUUGACGGGGACCCGCACAAGCAGCGGAGCAUGUGGUUUAAUUCGACGCAACGCGAAAAACCUUACCAAGACUUGACAUCGUAUGAUCGUCAUAGAAAUAUGAUUUCUCCGCAAGGAGCAUAUAGACAGAUGGUGCAUGGUUGUCGUCAGCUCGUGUCGUGAGAUGUUGGGUUAAGUCCCAAAACGAGCGCAACCCUUAUCGGUAGUUGCCAAUAUUUAGUUAGGAACUCUGCCGAGACCGCCGCGGUAACGUGGAGGAAGGAAGGGACGACGUCAAAUCAUCAUGCCUCUUACGUCUUGGGCUACACACGUGUUACAAUGGCCAUUACAAAGAGCAGCAACAUGGUAACAUAGAGCAAAUCUCAUAAAAAUGGUCUCAGUUCAGAUUGUGGGCUGCAACCCGCCCACAUGAAGUAGGAGU
RNAcentral lists this ribosomal RNA (551 nucleotides) under uncultured bacterium. RNAcentral's name for it is "bacterial SSU rRNA". It matches the Rfam family "Bacterial small subunit ribosomal RNA", at positions 780 to 1332 of the family's 1533-position model. The record is from RNAcentral.